GAGUCACCGAUGAGACACCGCCCUUUUCGUGCCGUAUAACUAACCGUCUCGAUGGGACACCGAUAGGUGGGCAGUUUGGGUGGGGCGCCACGCGCUCGAAAAGAUAACAAGCGCGCCCAAAGGUCAACUUAGGUAGGUCAGGAAUCUACUGAUAAGUGCAAAGGCAAAAGUUGGCUUGACAUGGUCCGGGACAAUAACGAACCAUGAUGCGAAAGCAAGGCUUAGCGAACCAAUGAACCUCAUUAGUGGGGGUCAUUGAUGACAGAAAAGUUACCCCGGGGAUAACUGAGUUGUCUUCAGCAAGAGCUCACAUCGACCUGAAGGCUUGCUACUUCGAUGUCGUCUCUUCCUAUCCUGGUAGUGCAGCAGCUGCCAAGGGUGGGGUUGUUCGCCCAUUAAAAGGGAUCGUGAGAUGGGUUUAGACCGUCGUGAGACAGGUUUGUUGCUCCCCGCUAGAAGUGUUAGGCGCUUGAGGGGAAGGACCCUUUAGUACGAGAGGAACAAGGGCUCGCAGCCUCUAGUUUACCAGUUGUCUGGCAAGGCAUCGCUGGGCAGCCACGCUGUAAGGGAUAAAGGCUGAAAGCAUCUAAGCCUGAAGCCUACCCUGAAAAGAAGCGCCAUUGAGAUUCCAGUAGAAGACUGGGUUAAUAGGAUUGGUGUGUAAGUAUCGAGGAUUAUUCCUACCAACCUCUUUUGCGGGAAAA
RNAcentral lists this ribosomal RNA (704 nucleotides) under Thermoplasmatota archaeon. Its description in RNAcentral is "Candidatus Thermoplasmatota archaeon partial 23S ribosomal RNA". It matches the Rfam family "Archaeal large subunit ribosomal RNA", at positions 2260 to 2987 of the family's 2987-position model. The record is from RNAcentral. Lineage: Archaea; Methanobacteriati; Thermoplasmatota.